AUCGUAUAUACAGAGCAAAAAAAUUGCAUCAGAUGGAGGAAGAAAAAAGAAAGCCAUGAGGUUCCUACACAUCUAACUAUGAACCGAAAAGACUGCAAAAGGCUUCCAAUUAUCUUAUGAGAUGCAUCUCAUGGAGUACAUUGUAACAGGUGAGUCUACGGCAGGCGCAUCGCCAUAGACCCUGGCAUGAUCACUCUCCAGGCCAUAGUCCAUCAUCGGACGGUACUCAAGAUCUUCAUCAUGAUCGUACACAAAUUCUGGCAUCCCAAUCUCAUUCCUCCUCACAUGCUCCCACAGAUUAUCAACCCUGCUCACAUACCUCAAUUUCCCAUAUAACCCUCCGCUGAAGAUGAAGCGACCAAAUGUGGCAAGGAAGAGCCUGGCUUGAAGACCAGGGUGAAGAAAGUAAAUAGCCUCCAGAUUCUCUCGGACUUUCACCGGAAUCGCAUCGUAGAACGAUCGUAAAGCUGAUACUCCGGGGAAAUUCUCGCUUUUCUCCACAUCGGUGUGAACAUACACCACGGCGAACGGCCUUUUCUCAAGUUCCGGAAAGAUCUUCUCCGCUAAAUACUUGUUCACAACUUCAACACUCAGAUUUCUAGCAGGAAAGAAUUUUCCGAUGAUGCGCAAAAUUUUGCGGCCACGUUUAUCUCUGCCUUGGAUCUUGAAUAUUUCGAGUUUCUCUAUAAGCUGUUGUUGUUCAACUUCUGUAAACAUGGUUUUUUGAAUCUCGAUUGUUGCAAAAGCAAAACGCUACGUUUGUUGUGGGAUGAGAUAUGAGAAAGAAGGGCGGAG
RNAcentral lists this unclassified non-coding RNA (795 nucleotides) under Hevea brasiliensis (rubber tree). Lineage: Eukaryota; Viridiplantae; Streptophyta; Magnoliopsida; Malpighiales; Euphorbiaceae. The record is from RNAcentral.